Molecule: ribosomal RNA, 340 nt
Filed under: uncultured Gemmatimonadota bacterium
Lineage: Bacteria; Pseudomonadati; Gemmatimonadota
Description: bacterial SSU rRNA
Rfam family: Bacterial small subunit ribosomal RNA
Source: RNAcentral
GACGAACGCUGGCGGCGUGCUUAACACAUGCAAGUCGAACGAGGACCAGGUGCUUGCACCUGGAGCCGAGUGGCGGACGGGUGAGUAACACGUGACUAACCUGCCUUUGGGAGGGGGAUAACCUGGGGAAACCCGGGCUAAUACCGCAUAAUGUCCUGUCAUCGCAUGGUGAUUGGAUGAAAGGGGGCCUCUGCUUGCAAGCUCCUACCCGAAGAGGGGUCGCGACGUAUCAGCUUGUUGGUGAGGUAAUGGCUCACCAAGGCUACGACGCGUAGCGGGUCUGAGAGGACGACCCGCCACAUUGGGACUGAGAUACGGCCCAGACUCCUACGGGAGGCAG